GAAUCUUCUAUGAUGAAGCAUACCGGAUGUAAAUCUAUCAGUAUACCACCGAGAGCGCAAAACCGUGUGGAUAUUUCCGUUGCCUUCCUUCUGAUCUCAUUGAUU
Molecule: non-coding RNA, 105 nt
Organism: Diplodia corticola
Lineage: Eukaryota; Fungi; Ascomycota; Dothideomycetes; Botryosphaeriales; Botryosphaeriaceae
Source: Rfam